UUGGGGGGGGUGCCUAAUACAUGCAAGUCGAGCGGACAGAUGGGAGCUUGCUCCCUGAUGUUAGCGGCGGACGGGUGAGUAACACGUGGGUAACCUGCCUGUAAGACUGGGAUAACUCCGGGAAACCGGGGCUAAUACCGGAUGCUUGUUUGAACCGCAUGGUUCAAACAUAAAAGGUGGCUUCGGCUACCACUUACAGAUGGACCCGCGGCGCAUUAGCUAGUUGGUGAGGUAAUGGCUCACCAAGGCAACGAUGCGUAGCCGACCUGAGAGGGUGAUCGGCCACACUGGGACUGAGACACGGCCCAGACUCCUACGGGAGGCAGCAGUAGGGAAUCUUCCGCAAUGGACGAAAGUCUGACGGAGCAACGCCGCGUGAGUGAUGAAGGUUUUCGGAUCGUAAAGCUCUGUUGUUAGGGAAGAACAAGUACCGUUCGAAUAGGGCGGUACCUUGACGGUACCUAACCAGAAAGCCACGGCUAACUACGUGCCAGCAGCCGCGGUAAUACGUAGGUGGCAAGCGUUGUCCGGAAUUAUUGGGCGUAAAGGGCUCGCAGGCGGUUCCUUAAGUCUGAUGUGAAAGCCCCCGGCUCAACCGGGGAGGGUCAUUGGAAACUGGGGAACUUGAGUGCAGAAGAGGAGAGUGGAAUUCCACGUGUAGCGGUGAAAUGCGUAGAGAUGUGGAGGAACACCAGUGGCGAAAGCGACUCUCUGGUCUGUAACUGACGCUGAUGAGCGAAAGCGUGGGGAGCGAACAGGAUUAGAUACCCUGGUAGUCCACGCCGUAAACGAUGAGUGCUAAGUGUUAGGGGGGGUUCCGCCCCUUUACUGCUGCAGCCUAAACGUCAUUAAGCUACUCCGCCUGCGGAGUACGUCGCGAGACUGAAAACUCAAAAGCAAAUUGAACCGAGGAGGGACCCGCG
This 923-nucleotide ribosomal RNA is filed under the name Bacillus sp. (in: firmicutes). RNAcentral's name for it is "bacterial SSU rRNA". It matches the Rfam family "Bacterial small subunit ribosomal RNA", at positions 36 to 931 of the family's 1533-position model. The record is from RNAcentral. Lineage: Bacteria; Bacillati; Bacillota; Bacilli; Caryophanales; Bacillaceae.